This 409-nucleotide ribosomal RNA is filed under the name uncultured bacterium. RNAcentral describes it as "bacterial SSU rRNA". It matches the Rfam family "Bacterial small subunit ribosomal RNA", at positions 8 to 419 of the family's 1533-position model. The record is from RNAcentral.
AGAGUUUGAUCCUGGCUCAGAUUGAACGCUGGCGGAAUGCUUUACACAUGCAAGUCGAGCGGCAGCGCGGGGGCAACCCUGGCGGCGAGCGGCGAACGGGUGAGUAAUGUAUCGGAACGUACCCAGUCGUGGGGGAUAACUAUCCGAAAGGAUAGCUAAUACCGCAUACGUCCUGAGGGAGAAAGCGGGGGACCGUAAGGCCUCGCGCGAUUGGAGCGGCCGAUAUCGGAUUAGCUAGUUGGUGAGGUAAAGGCUCACCAAGGCGACGAUCCGUAGCUGGUCUGAGAGGACGACCAGCCACACUGGAACUGAGACACGGUCCAGACUCCUACGGGAGGCAGCAGUGGGGAAUUUUGGACAAUGGGGGCAACCCUGAUCCAGCCAUUCCGCGUGAGUGAAGAAGGCCUUC